Molecule: ribosomal RNA, 483 nt
Filed under: uncultured bacterium
Lineage: Bacteria
Description: partial 16S ribosomal RNA
Rfam family: Bacterial small subunit ribosomal RNA
Source: RNAcentral
UUGCACGCUGGCGGCAUGCUUUACACAUGCCAGUCGAACGGCAGCGCGGGCUUCGGCCUGGCGGCGAGUGGCGAACGGGUGAGUAAUACAUCGGAACGUGCCCAGUAGUGGGGGAUAGCUCGGCGAAAGCCGGAUUAAUACCGCAUACGACCUGAGGGUGAAAGCGGGGGAUCUUCGGACCUCGCGCUAUUGGAGCGGCCGAUGGCAGAUUAGCUAGUUGGUGGGGUAAAGGCCUACCAAGGCGACGAUCUGUAGCUGGUCUGAGAGGACGACCAGCCACACUGGGACUGAGACACGGCCCAGACUCCUACGGGAGGCAGCAGUGGGGAAUUUUGGACAAUGGGCGAAAGCCUGAUCCAGCAAUGCCGCGUGUGUGAUGAAGGCCUUCGGGUUGUAAAGCACUUUUGGCGGGAAAGAAAAGGACUGUGCCAAUACCACGGUUCGAUGACGGUACCCGCAGAAUAAGCACCGGCUAACUACGUG